RNAcentral lists this ribosomal RNA (693 nucleotides) under Salmonella enterica subsp. enterica. RNAcentral describes it as "partial 23S ribosomal RNA". It matches the Rfam family "Bacterial large subunit ribosomal RNA", at positions 1069 to 1677 of the family's 2925-position model. The record is from RNAcentral. Lineage: Bacteria; Pseudomonadati; Pseudomonadota; Gammaproteobacteria; Enterobacterales; Enterobacteriaceae.
AACGAUGUGGGAAGGCCCAGACAGCCAGGAUGUUGGCUUAGAAGCAGCCAUCAUUUAAAGAAAGCGUAAUAGCUCACUGGUCGAGUCGGCCUGCGCGGAAGAUGUAACGGGGCUAAACCAUGCACCGAAGCUGCGGCAGCGAACGUAUCACCCAAGACAACUUUACGGAGUUGACGAUUGACGGAGCGAAGCGACGUCAAAGCGUUCAUUAAAGUCGAGUUGGCUUAGGGAUACGUUCGUUGGGUAGGGGAGCGUUCUGUAAGCCUGUGAAGGUGUGUCGUGAGGCAUGCUGGAGGUAUCAGAAGUGCGAAUGCUGACAUAAGUAACGAUAAAGCGGGUGAAAAGCCCGCUCGCCGGAAGACCAAGGGUUCCUGUCCAACGUUAAUCGGGGCAGGGUGAGUCGACCCCUAAGGCGAGGCCGAAAGGCGUAGUCGAUGGGAAACGGGUUAAUAUUCCCGUACUUGGUGUUACUGCGAAGGGGGGACGGAGAAGGCUAUGUUGGCCGGGCGACGGUUGUCCCGGUUUAAGCGUGUAGGUGUGUGUUCCAGGUAAAUCCGGUUCACUUUAACACUGAGGCGUGACGACGAGGCACUACGGUGCUGAAGCAACAAAUGCCCUGCUUCCAGGAAAAGCCUCUAAGCAUCAGGUAACACGAAAUCGUACCCCAAACCGACACAGGUGGUCAGGUAGAGA